ACUGCUUUCUCCUCUGCCUCCGGAGUCUUUUUCGGUCUUUGGCGUGGAGGAUGAGUGGGGAAGAGAACGCAGUCCCUGGCUGCUGAACUAGAAAUUCUGAUUCCUUCCGAGAGAAAAGUCAUUUUUGAGGGCUGUGGCGUCCACAUCCUUAAAUGGUGUCUCUAGCUUCAUGAAAGGGUCCUAAAUUUGUUAAGAAAGAAUCGGUUGGCAACUUGCACUUUUUUUCAUCAACUUUUCACUUUGCAGCCCUGAGAGCUUUUAAUUACAGUAUUGUCAGAGGGGCCCAUUCUUCUAUUUCCUAAAUCAUUUCAUUGAUUUUUUUUCCCUCAUUCUGCCUUCCUUUUCAGCAAGACUUCUCCCACCCCCCCACCCCCCGCCCCAACACCCACUGGGAUUCACUCAGAGCUUGAGAGUUUUAUCGUCCAGUUUUGGCAUCAUCACGGAGCAUUAAUCAGCCAGUGGAAAACAGAGAGAAGCAGGAUUUAUCUGUCAGACAAAAUGAGAGGUGAGGCUGCUCUUUGUACUUACUCCC
This 532-nucleotide long non-coding RNA is filed under the name Mustela putorius furo (domestic ferret). Its description in RNAcentral is "lncRNA (ENSMPUG00000030838.1)". The record is from RNAcentral. Lineage: Eukaryota; Metazoa; Chordata; Mammalia; Carnivora; Mustelidae.